UUUUGUUAUCUGUAAGAGAUGAUGGAUGUUCACUAAACUUAUUGUGGUUAAUCAUUUAAAAUGUUGUUUUUAAUAAUUGUGUGCUCCGAUUUUACAAGAUCUACAAAUAAUGACCUAGGAGGCUUUGGAGCCUAGCAAAUUUGGAGCCUUGGCUCUCCUAUGCGACCUUGAACAAGUUAUUUUAUUUCUCAAAGCCUGAUUUUUCUCAUUUGUGAAAUAAGGGUUAUAAAAAAAUCUUAAUUGUUACUGUGAAGAUGAAAAGAGUUAAUAUAUUUAAGGUGCUUUGAACAAUUCUGACACAUAAACGAUCAGCUAUAAUGUAUUAUUGUUCUUGUCUUACCAGUUUUCAGUGGGGCAUCAAUAGUCACUGUGAAUGCUGAGGUAUGCAGGACACAGGGCUAUAAUCAAGGCUUGUGGAAAGGGAGAAGGCCAUAAAAAAGGGGGGUGUGAAAGAUGACUUAAUAUAAGUACUUAAUUUUAUUUUUAAAAUUUUUAUUAAAAUUUGGGGGGGAGGCGUUCCCUUCAUGACUCAGCAGAAACCAAUCUAACUAGCAUCCAUGAGGAAGCAGGUUCUUAACCUACUGAGCCAUGAUGGGAACUCUGAGAGUUGUUCAUUUUUAUGAGAGAUGAAUCUGCUUGUGCUGGAUUAUUCACAACACCCCCGUAACACCCAUCCAUCAUCAAUAUUAAUAUUUCUGCAGCAAACAUAUGGAUAAUCAUGGCUUAAUGGACUAAAUAAACCUAUAUAAAGGCUCACAUUAGUUCAAGUUUUGCCAUCACAUGAAUUACCUGCAAGCUUAAAAAAAAAAUCUGUUUUUCAGAGCCUUUUGGGUUUCAGAAUGGCUAAAAAGGAUACAGAAUAUUAUAGCCCCAUUAUACAGGUGAGAAAACUGAGGUUUCCAUCUAUGCAGAGCCUCCCCAAGGUCACACUGAGGGUGAUAGAGCCCGCCUUUGGACUGAGACGGACUGUGCUCACCCGAAGUCACGUCUGAACCUCGGCUUGACUCCAAACCUGUGUUCCCGAGGCAGGAGGGAGGGUACUCAGACCUGCCCUGCUCCACGUUCACCUGAGAAACCCGUGAUGGCUGACAAAUUCAUUUCCACUGGGAAUGAGAUCAAUUUUCUUAUAAAUUAAUAGGCUAGAGCGCAUAUGGGAACGCCUUCUCAAAGAGGUUAGGAAAGUGAAACCAAACUCCAGUCGCGUCUGCGGAGGGGAGGGGCAGGGUGUGUGACUUUCCUGUUCUCGCAAAGCAAAUACCUUGUCCUUCUGUUUUAUCCAACCUCAUGUGCUUUCUGUGAUGCCACUUCUGCUCCGAUGAACAGAGCGCCAGCCUCGGCUUUCCGCGGAGCAGCUGGGGUUUCCCACUGCUGCUUCCACCCGUGCUGCUGGUUCUCUGGAGCUGCUUCCUCUUUCCUUAGAUCAGGUCUCUCUUC
This 1434-nucleotide long non-coding RNA is filed under the name Sus scrofa (pig). Its description in RNAcentral is "lncRNA (ENSSSCG00005035058.1)". The record is from RNAcentral. Lineage: Eukaryota; Metazoa; Chordata; Mammalia; Artiodactyla; Suidae.